UAUGGGCCACCUUGUAGUUAA
RNAcentral lists this non-coding RNA (21 nucleotides) under Caenorhabditis elegans. Lineage: Eukaryota; Metazoa; Nematoda; Chromadorea; Rhabditida; Rhabditidae. The record is from RNAcentral.